This 580-nucleotide ribosomal RNA is filed under the name uncultured bacterium. RNAcentral describes it as "partial 16S ribosomal RNA". It matches the Rfam family "Bacterial small subunit ribosomal RNA", at positions 355 to 923 of the family's 1533-position model. The record is from RNAcentral.
UGGGGAAUUUUGGACAAUGGGCGAAAGCCUGAUCCAGCAAUGCCGCGUGUGUGAAGAAGGCCUUCGGGUUGUAAAGCACUUUUGUCCGGAAAGAAAUCCUUGGCUCUAAUACAGUCGGGGGAUGACGGUACCGGAAGAAUAAGCACCGGCUAACUACGUGCCAGCAGCCGCGGUAAUACGUAGGGUGCAAGCGUUAAUCGGAAUUACUGGGCGUAAAGCGUGCGCAGGCGGUUUGCUAAGACCGAUGUGAAAUCCCCGGGCUCAACCUGGGGAACUGCAUUGGUGACUGGCAGGCUAGAGUAUGGCAGAGGGGGGUAGAAUUCCACGUGUAGCAGUGAAAUGCGUAGAGAUGUGGAGGAAUACCGAUGGCGAAGGCAGCCCCCCUGGGGCCAAAUACUGACGCUCAUGCACGAAAGCGUGGGGAGCAAACAGGAUUAGAUACCCUGGUAGUCCACGCCCUAAAACGAUGUCAACUAGUUGUUGGGGAUUCAUUUCCUUAGUAACGUAGCUAACGCGUGAAGUUGACCGCCUGGGGAGUACGGUCGCAAGAUUAAAACUCAAAUGAAUUGACGGGGUCAUA